AUUUUAACCUUAUGUGAGAUUGAUCCGAAAGUAGGGAGGCUGAUGCGUUUUCAGUACGUUUUGGCCACCAAGGAUUGACACGAAUCUAGAUUGAUGUUUGGUUGGAGUUGAGAAAAUCUCUGUUCUUACAAAUUUUCACCUAGCUGUUCCGGGCAUAUGGCAAUUGAGUGCGUGGACGAUUGGGAAGCCCAUUUUUCCUCCGGAGCACUUACAUGUUUUCUAGCAAUAUAAGCAUCGAGGUGUUAAUUAACUAGCCAAUAUACAUGUUUUUCCUUUUGUUUCAGGUGUGUGACCACUAUGAGUUCAUAUACGAAAAUGGGGAGGGCCAUGGAUCUGGACAACCACAUUGGACCAAUCGCAGGCAACCAUUGUAAUGUACGUGGAGCAGCAGUGCUUUAUCUUUCAAUAAGCAAACACUCAGGCUUCCAAAUUUAUGUAGUCAUUGCGGCAUAACAAGAAGAUAGCAAAAUGUAACUAUGGAGGCUGGCAGAAUCUCCUUGGGGUGAAGAUGGUUGAACGGUGGUAUAUACUCAGUAUGUCUAGGCAAAAUACACUUAUUAAGAGACGACCACUCCAGUUUUUGCUAAUGUUUGAUCUUUUUUUUGAAGCACAUGACAAUAGGGAUUUUUUGUUUUUUAUAAAUCACAAAGCCCAGGACUCUGGAUCAAGGAUUACAAGAGGUUUAUGGAGGAAAGAAGUGUUUUGAUCUGUUUUGUUGUAUGCAAGACACCUUUUAGUUGUCGGGGUUGUCCUCUAUAUUAUUACCUUGCAGAUUUUGCAUCUA
Lolium perenne is the source of this 784-nucleotide long non-coding RNA. RefSeq lists it as uncharacterized. NCBI's taxonomy places the organism in Eukaryota, Viridiplantae, Streptophyta, Magnoliopsida, Poales, Poaceae. The record is from RefSeq and is a predicted model, not a curated record.